GUGCUCGCCUCAGCAGCAUGGGUACCAAAAUUGCAACGAUACAGAGAUUAGCAUGACCCCUGUGCAAGGAUGACAUGCAAAUAUGGGAAGCGUUCCAUAUUUUA
Molecule: small nuclear RNA, 104 nt
Organism: Mustela putorius furo (domestic ferret)
Lineage: Eukaryota; Metazoa; Chordata; Mammalia; Carnivora; Mustelidae
Source: Ensembl